AUUUCAGAUGGCUGACAUCCAGAGGGAACUAGGGGACAGGAGAAGAAGAAGCUGGAGCAAGCUCAUGAUCCAGGGGAAGACUUCUCGUUAGGAAGUAAUUCCCAGAUUGAGAUGCAAAUGUUGAGAAGAGUCAACCAGACAGAAGAGGAGAUGAGUGUUCCGGCAGAGGAAGCUGUGUGGCUGAAACUUGCAGUCUUCAGGUUGAGAAUUCCUGUCCCUCUGUGUCCAGCAGACAAGUGCUACCUGAAGGCCAUGACGAAUUGAGACAAAAUUCUAACACUGCUACGUUAUUGAGAGAAAGGAUGAGAAGGAACUCAAGCGACUGGACCAACAGAACCGGUUCUUUGCAGAAGCAGAGGGGAGACCUGGACUUUGCUUUUCCUGCGGCCAUUAAGUUAACUGCCUGACCUUUGACAAAGUCUUGAGAGCUUCGCUUCGGUGCUGAAAACUAGGUUAUUCCUAAGGCUCCUUUCAAUUUUGAGAUCCUAUGACUUUAGGGAGUCGCCUCCAACACGUGAUUUGAACAGUAGAGAAAUAUCUUGCAGUCCACAUCUCAUAUGCAUCUGCAGCCACCAGACCUAAAAUCUCCAGGCAAGCCUCAAGGCUUCGAUGCUUCUGGAAUCACGAGUCCCCUUUGAAAAGGAUUUGCGAAGAACUACAGGACUUCUCUCGAGAGAAAUGGAGAGCUACAGGUGCACACAGCAGUUGCUGACAUUGUAGGGAGUCCACAGCAUCCUUAAAGCACAACCAUGGGGCCCCAUCUCCCUGCAAGAUGGAGUUUUGUUCUUGUUGCCCAGGCUGGAAUGCAAUGGCGCGAUCUCAGCUCACUGCAACCUCUGCCUCCUGGGUUCAAGCGAUUCUCCUGGUUCAGCCUCCUGAGUAGCUGGGAUUACAGGAAUGCGCCACCACACCUGGCUACUUUUGUAUUUUUAGUAGAGAUGGGGUUUCUCCACGUGCAUCAGGCUAGUCUCACACUCCCGACUUCAGAUGAUCCACCCGCCUCGGCCUCCCAAAGUGCUGGGAUUACAGGCGUGAGCCACCGUGCCUGGCCAAAGCCUUCUUCACUUUCAUUUUGUGGCUGCUGUUGUGAAAUCUGCAGAACCUCAAGCUGUUUGGACUCCAUCUUCUAGGUUGAAUUAGAUUACAGGUAAUCUCAUGGUGGAGGUGUAUUCUGGAUCGACUCACUUUUGAAAUGUUUAUGAAAGAAAUUCCUUCACCUCGGGACUUCCACACUGGAGCUGGCAAUCAGUAUCACCUUAAUUUACCUAUCACAGUGAGGCAUCUCUGCUCUGAGGAAAACAAAACAAAACAAAACAAAACAAAAAAGAAGAGCUAAUGGUUCUGUUUUGUUUUGUUGUUUUAGAGACAGGGUCUUGCUCUGUCGCCCGGGCUGGAAUGCAGUGACAUCAUCACAGCUCACUGUAGCCUUGAUCUCCUGGGCUCAAGCGAUCCUUCUGCCUCAGCCUGAGUAGCUGGGAUGGGACUACAGAUGCACGCCACCACACAUGGCUAAUUUUUUUAUUUUUUAGAGACGAGGUCCCAUGUGAGCCACGGUGCCCCACCUUUUAAAGCAAUUACCGUAAGGAAGCAACUGUCUUUAGCAAAUAGAAGAUCAUAAACAUCCUUCUGGAGAUCUUGAGAUGUUGACUGUGGUUUAUAGGGCAAUGAAAAUCUACAUACCUGAGUGGGGCAGUGAGACAUGAGUGCCACCUAUGAUCCUUCCAGUGAGCAAUUCUUUCUGGUGCCAGGAGCCCAAAGGAAACUCAGUCAACCAGCUGUAGAUGGGCUUGUUCCGAGUUUGUUCUAGAAGUCAGAACUGCCAGCUCUGAAAGUAGGUCACAAGUGACUGGCCAUCCCUGGGCUGCUCACAGGAAGUAGCUGCAAAGGUCAGGGAAAGUUUUUAAUGACUAUACAGGCCAGUGAAUGACAGGCUUUGAGGAGCUUCUCUUCUUGGCAUCUGAAACAGGCACAUGGAGGAGCUGCCUUGGAGACAGAAUGACAGCUGUGGCAAUGUGAGCCUGAUUCCUCAGCCCCAUAAAAUAGAUGCCUUUGCAAAAAACCCAUUUAUUUUUUUUUUUUUCUGUUUUUGAGAGGGAGUCUCGCUCUGUCCCCCCAGGCGGAGUGCAGUGGCGUGAUCUCGGCUCACUGCAACUUCUGCCUCCCGGGUUCAAGCGAUUCUCCUGCCUCAGCUCCCAAGUAGCUGAGAUUACAGGCAUCCGCCACCACGCCUGGCCAAUUUUGUAUUUUAGUAGAGACGGGGUUUUGCCACAUUGGCCAGGCUGGGAAAAAGCCCAUUUCUAUACAGAGGAAUCAUCUUGCAGGACUCAAGGAAUGAUUAAGAGGAAUCUACAGCAUUAACUUUAGAAACUCGAUGCAAUAUUCCCAAGAGGAGUUAAGAUUGGGAUAAGUAAUCUCUGAAUUAAUUUCAACCUUGAGAUGUUGUGAUCCUAUGAAGUCAAAGACAUAUUUCUUUUUUCUUUGUUUGAGAUGGAGUCUUGCUCUGUCACCCAAAUUGGAGGGCGGUGAUGUGAUCUCGGCUUACUACGACCUCUGCCUCCUGGGUUCAAGCGAUUCUCAGCUUCAGCCUCCUGAGUAGCUGAGAUUACAGGUGCCCGCCACCAUGCCCGGCUAAUUUUUGUAUUUUUAGUAGAGAUGAGGUUUCACUGUGUUGGCCAGGCUGGUCUUGAAUUCUUGGCCCCAGGUGAUCUGCCCGCCUGGGCCUCCCAAAGUGCUGGGAUUACAGGAGUGAGCACCAUGUCCGGUCUAGAUACAUAUUUCUAUUAAUACACAUUUGCAGGGAUUGUUUGUUACUGAAGUUGACGCCUUGUGCUUGAGAAUGCUAUUUCACUGACACAAUUGUUAUGGUAUAAAUGUGAGAGUAUAGUUACAAUCUGGACACUAUUUUUUGCUUGUCUUAUUGGCCCAGCAACCAGCUUGACACUGGGGACUAUCAGGCUCCAAAUAAUAACCAAUGUCUCACUCCAAACAGACAGGAUACUACGGAGCCAGGGUCAGCAAACAUUUUCUGUAAAGGGCCAGAUAGUAAAUAUUUUGGGCUUUGUGGGCCCUAUGGUCUCUGUCACAACGAUUCAACUCUGCUGUUGUAACAAAAAAGCAGUCAGACAAUAUGUAAAUGAAUGGGCAUGGCUGUGUUCCAGUAAAACCACAAAAACAGGCAGCUAGCUUUGGUGUGGGGCCCUAAGAGCUUGGACUUUGAAGCCAGGUUCAAAUCCUGGCUUUCUCACCUUCUAGCUCCGUUACCUUAAAGAACUUCAUUAUCUUCCUUGUAUUUUAGUCUUUUCAUCUCUAAAUUAGUGAUAGUACUUAACAGUGUUGUUAUAAAGAUUAAACGAGUUAAGUUUGUAAAGUACUUAAACAGUGCCUACCAGGUAGUAAGUGCUAUAGCAGAGUGUGUUAGAUAAUGAAACAUCCUGUGCUGUGGAUAUAUUAUUCCCAUUACGAUUUGGAUUCAAAUAAAGAAAUACAUGACUUAGAAGA
This 3498-nucleotide long non-coding RNA is filed under the name Homo sapiens (human). Its description in RNAcentral is "HSALNT0317329". Lineage: Eukaryota; Metazoa; Chordata; Mammalia; Primates; Hominidae. The record is from RNAcentral.